AUGUCCUUCAACGUCUGAAUAGUUUUCUCUGAUUGCCCAUUAGUUUGAGGAUGAUAGGCGGUGGUGUAGAGUAAUUUUGAUCCUAGAGUUUCUUGAAAAGUUAUCCAAAAUUUUGAAGUAAAUCUGGGAUCCCGAUCAGAAAUGAUACUAAUUGGAACACCAUGAUACUUGACGAUUUCAAAGAUGAAAAGUUUGGCUAACCGACUUAGCGAGUAAUUCUCAUGAACAGGUAGGAAAUGCGCUAACUUGGUAAGUCGAUAUACAAUCACCCAUAUACCGUCAUAGCCAUUACGUGUACGAGGCAGCUCGUACACAAAAUUCAUUGUGAUAUCUUCCAAUUUUCACUAGGGUAUCAGAAGUGGCUGUAGCAACCCAAAUGGUUUCUUUCUUUCUGGCUUGACCUGUUGACAGACUAAACAGUGACUCAUGUACUCAACUAUUUCUCUCUUCAUUCCUAGCCAUAGUAGAAAGGUCAGAUAGUAUGGUACAUUUUAGUACUUUCGGGAUGCAUCGCAUAAGCUGAAAUAUGCGCAUCAUCGAGUAUUUCUUUCUUCAGUUUUUCCUCCUUAGGUACAAACAUCUGAUCGCCUUGCAUGAGCAUACCAUCAUGCAUUUGAAUCCUUAAAUCAUUUAAUACUGCUUGCCUUAACUCCUGAGAUUCGGAGUCAUUCAUCUGAGCUUCUAGAACAUGAUCCAACAAAACUGGCCUAACUUGAAAGUUGGUAAGCAGAGCUCCCUGCUAAUCCGUUCCCAAAACCGUUCCAGUAGAUCUUAGGUCUGUCAGAAGAGGAACACGACAUGCAUAAAGAGCAUUAAGUCGGCCAUGAGAUUUCCUAGUGGGAACAUUUGCUCCAGUAUUCACAUGGCCAAGGUGAUACUCGAUAGUGCAGUCAUAAUCACUUAUCAACUUCAUACAUCUGCACUGCAGAAGAUUAAGUUCUUUCUAAGUAAAGAUAUAGUUGAGGCUCUUAUGGUUAGUGAAGAUCUGACAUGUUUCCUUAUAAAGAUAGUGCCACCAAAUUUUCAAAGCAAAAACAAUAGUUGUCAAUUCAAGAUCAUAAGUAGGAUAGUUCAUCUCAUGGGGCUUUAACUGUCACGAAGCAUACACAAUCACUUUUCCAUGCUGCAUCAGCACACAACCCAGGCCAUUCAGAGAGGCAUCACUGUAGAUCUCGAAAUUCCCACUGUCAUCGGGAAGUGCCAAAACAUGCGCAUGAGUGAGACAAUAUUUCAACUAUUGGAAACUUCGUUCACAAUCAUCACUCCAUUCAAAAUUAACUCAUUUCCUGAUCAACCUUGUUAGAGGUAGGGCUAUGGCUAAAAAGUCUUUCAUAAAACGUCAAUAGUAGCCCGCAAAACCAAGAAAACUCCGAACUUCAGUGACAUUUUGAGGUUGCUCCCAAUUUUCCACUGCUGCUAUUUUCUUCGGAUCCACGAGAACACCUUGAGCUGAUAUCACGUGUCCUAAGAAAGACACCUGAUCCAACCAAAACUAGUACUUACUGAACUUAACAUACAUUUGAUUCUCCCUUAGCUUCUUCAAAACCAGAUGUAGAUGUCUAACAUGGUCAGCCUCGCUUUUAGAAUACACCAAAAUAUCAUCGAUGAAGACAAUUACGAACCUAUCAAGGUACGGACGAAAUACCCGAUUCAUCAAGUCCAUAAAAGCUGCGGGAGCAUUAGUUAACCCGAAUGGCAUCACAAGAAACUCAUAAUGACCAUAUUGAGUUCGGAAUGCUAUUUUCGGAACAUCAUCACUUCUAAUCUUCAAUUGAUAAUAGCCAGACCUUAGAUCGAUUUUUGAGAAAAAUGCAAGCACCACGAAGCUGGUGUAAAAGAUCAUCGAUACGAGGUAAUGGAUAAUGGUUUUUAAUCAUCACCCGAUUUAGCUGUCUGCAAUCGAUCUGAAAGUUUCAUCUUUCUUCCUUAAAAACAAGAGUGGAGCUUCCCAAGGGGAAAUGCUCGGCUGAAUAAACCUUUUUUCAACAAGUUCUUGCAAUUGAGUUUUUAAUUCCCUUCACUCUGUAGGAGCCAUAUGAUAAGGAAUUAAAGAAAUAGGAUCGGUACCUAGAAUUAGGUCGAUAGUGAACUCUAUUUCACGUUUUGGUGGUAGACCAGGUAAGUCAUCGGGAAAAACAUCCCGAAAGUGUCUGACUACUUGAAGGUCUUCUACACCAGCAAGAGUCUCCUCAAUCAUUAUUAUAUGAGCUAAUUAGCCUUGACAACCUUUCCUUAACAUCCGCUUAGCCCUCAGGGUAGAGAUAAUUCCAUACUUUAGACCGUUAUGUUCGCCGAUAAAAGUUACCAUUGGCAUGCCCAGUCGAUGGAAGGUAACAAUUUUCUGAUGGCAAUUCAACAUGGCACGAUUUUAAUCUAACCAAUCCAUGCCCAAGAUAAUGUCAAAGUCAACGAUAUCCAAAGGAAUAAGAUUGGCUGGUAUUACCACAUCCUCGAUAAGAACGGGACAUCCUCGAUACUCCCAACUAACAUAACAAACUUCACCCUUAGGCAUCGAAAACUCCAACUCGUAAAUUAGGGGAGUAGGGAUAAGGUUGAGUCUUUUGAGCAAAUGUAUGGGAAAUAACAGAAUGGGUAGCACCCGAGAAAAUUAAUAUUCUAGCAAAAUGGCCAAGAACAUUCAACGUACCCAUAAUCAAGUCGGGGUUACCCUGAGCAUCUUGCAAGGUGAUGUGGUUGACUUAACCCUAUGC
RNAcentral lists this long non-coding RNA (2711 nucleotides) under Malus domestica (apple). RNAcentral's name for it is "long non-coding RNA (MDOM_LNC012466)". The record is from RNAcentral. Lineage: Eukaryota; Viridiplantae; Streptophyta; Magnoliopsida; Rosales; Rosaceae.